AUACGGAGGGUGCAAGCGUUACUCGGAAUCACUGGGCGUAAAGCGCGCGCAGGCGGCUUGAUAAGUUGGAUGUGAAAGCCUACGGCUCAACCGUAGAACUGCAUCCAAACUGUCAGGCUAGAGUGUGGGAGAGGAAGAUGGAAUUAGUUGUGUAGGGGUAAAAUCCGUAGAGAUAACUAGGAAUACCAAAAGCGAAGGCAAUCUUCUGGAACACUACUGACGCUGAGGCGCGAAGGCGUGGGGAGCAAACAGGAUUAGAAACCCCGGUAGUCC
RNAcentral lists this ribosomal RNA (273 nucleotides) under uncultured bacterium. Its description in RNAcentral is "partial 16S ribosomal RNA". It matches the Rfam family "Bacterial small subunit ribosomal RNA", at positions 523 to 796 of the family's 1533-position model. The record is from RNAcentral.